GGCUCCUGCUGCUGCAGACACACGGGCUUCCUUGGGGUUCCUCCAACAUACCAGGCACAUGCUGCUUUGCGCCGGCUGUUCCCUCCGCCGGAACGCUUGAAUUUACUUAACUCAGCUCCAACGAGGAUUAAAUGAGGGUCAUCAUUUAUGCCUGUGAACCUCUCCAAAGUUCAGAUUGUUCCUGAACAGUCAGGCAUUUCAAACUCCCACUACCAUGAAGACUUCACUGUUAAGUGACUUUUACAGAUUUAUCCAUGGCAAAAAAAAGAAGAAGAAGAAAGAGGAAGAGGAAGAGGAAGAG
This is a long non-coding RNA of Suricata suricatta (meerkat), 301 nucleotides long. RefSeq lists it as uncharacterized. Lineage: Eukaryota; Metazoa; Chordata; Mammalia; Carnivora; Herpestidae. The record is from RefSeq and is a predicted model, not a curated record. The transcript has 3 exons.